CCAGGGGGCCGGGCAGCUGCGGGUCGGAAGACGCGAGGAAAGUCCGGGCUCCACGAAACAAGGGUGGCGGGUAACGCCCGCCGGGGGUGACCCCAGGGAAAGUGCCACAGAGAGUAUACCGCCGAUGGAGGCUAAACCUCACAGGCAAGGGUGAAAGGGUGCGGUAAAAGCGCACCGGGGCUGCUGGUAACAGCGCCCGCAUGGCAAACCCCACCCGGAGCAAGGCCAAAUAGGGGCCUCGCGCCGCAAGGCAGGAACGUUUCGUUCCGAGAGGCCCGGGUUGGCUGCUUGAGCGCAGGGAGCAAUCCCUCGCCUAGAUGAAUGGCUGCCGCUGCAAGGCUGGUGUGCAAACAUACCGCUUGCAGGACAGAACCCGGCUUACAGGCCCCCUGGCAUA
Molecule: RNase P RNA, 397 nt
Filed under: Altererythrobacter sp.
Lineage: Bacteria; Pseudomonadati; Pseudomonadota; Alphaproteobacteria; Sphingomonadales; Erythrobacteraceae
Description: RNase P RNA component class A
Rfam family: Bacterial RNase P class A
About the family: Ribonuclease P (RNase P) is a ubiquitous endoribonuclease, found in archaea, bacteria and eukarya as well as chloroplasts and mitochondria.
Source: RNAcentral